RNAcentral lists this ribosomal RNA (275 nucleotides) under uncultured bacterium. Its description in RNAcentral is "partial 16S ribosomal RNA". It matches the Rfam family "Bacterial small subunit ribosomal RNA", at positions 338 to 611 of the family's 1533-position model. The record is from RNAcentral.
CCUACGGGUGGCUGCAGUAGGGAAUAUUGGUCAAUGGAGGCAACUCUGAACCAGCCAUGCCGCGUGCAGGAAGAAGGUCCUCUGGAUUGUAAACUGCUUUUAUAAGGGACGAAAAAGACCAUGCGUGGUAAAUUGACGGUACUUUAUGAAUAAGCCACGGCUAACUACGUGCCAGCAGCCGCGGUAAUACGUAGGUGGCAAGCGUUAUCCGGAUUUAUUGGGUUUAAAGGGAGCGUAGGCGGUUUGAUAAGUCAGUGGUGAAAGGUAGCAGCUUA